AUGGGACCUUGCCAUAUGAAGUCCUGGCUAGGUUCCCAGGCCUGUCUUAGGGUCCUCUGCAGAGCUUCUGUAAGCCAGUGGGAGCUACUCUGCCACACGGCAUACUUGCCUUUCUGCUUCUUAGCCUGUUCCUUUGGUGCCAUAUGUGACAAGGCAGUUUGUGUGAGUUCUGGUGUUGUGAGAAACAGAGUGAACCAGAGACUAUGGUGGAAUCAAGGAGCUAUCAAAGGAAACGCAAGGAAAAGAGUACAGCAUAGACUGAAGGUACCAAGCUCACCACCAGACCAUGGCACUGUCUCCAGAGCAUGUUGGUUGGGUAAGUGCUCCUUCUGACCCCAGGUACCUCAGUGCUUGGAGAAGCAGCCCAGACUCUUCCUCCAUCUAAGCACAUCUCACAAUCAGAGAAACCUGUGAGGAGCAUGAACUGGAUCAUGUCACUGUCCUAAAUAAGUCUUUUGAUGGUUUUGUGUCCUGAUUCCUCCCUGGACUUGGGGCCUUGUACCAUUUGGCCAGCCUCUUUCUUUGUUUCCACCAUUAUAGAGCACUGAUUCACCUUUUCUGUUCCCACCUUCUUUUUGUAAAAUUUUAUUUUUUAUUGGUUAUUUUAUUUUACGUUUCAAAUGUCAUCCCCCUUCCUGGUCUCCCCUCUGUAAAUCCCUCAUCCCAUUGCCCCUCCCCUUUGCCUCUCUGAGGGUGCUCCUCCACCUACCCACCCACUCGUGCCUCACCACUCUAGCAUCCCCCUACUCAAGCCUCCACAGGACCAAGGGCCACCCCUCCUAUUGAUUGAUGCCAGAUAAGGCCAUCUGCUGGAACCAUGGAUCCCUCCAUGUAUUCUCUUUGGUUGGUAGUUUAGUCCCUGGGAGCUCGGGGGCGGGGGGUCCAGUUAAUUGAUAUUAGUGUUCUUCCAAUGGGGUUGCAAUCCCCUUGCACUCCUUCAUUCCUUCCCCUAGCUCUUCCACUGGGGUCUCCACCCUCAGUCCGUUGGUUGGCUGAGUAUCUGCGUCUGUAUUAGUCAGGUCCUGGCAGAGCCUCUCAGGGGACAGCUAUACCAGGCUCCUGUCAGCAAGCACUUCUUGGCAUCAGCAAUAGUGUCAAGGCUUGGUGUCUGCAGAUGGGAUGAUCCCUAGGUGGGGUGGUCUCAGGAUGACUUUUCCUUCAGUCUAUGCUGUACUCUUUUCCUUGCGUUUCCUUUAGACAGGAACAAUUCUGGGUUAAAAUUUUUGAGAUGGAUGGGUUGCCCCACCUCUCAACUGGGGGUGAGAGUGCCUUUCUACUGGAGGUGGUCUCUACAGGUUCUGUCUCCCCUUUGUUGGGUAUUUCAGCUAAUGUCAUCCCCAUUGGGUCCUUUUUUUUUUUUUUUUUUUCGGAGCUGGG
Molecule: long non-coding RNA, 1377 nt
Filed under: Rattus norvegicus (Norway rat)
Lineage: Eukaryota; Metazoa; Chordata; Mammalia; Rodentia; Muridae
Description: long non-coding RNA NONRATT031576
Source: RNAcentral